This is a non-coding RNA of Leptonychotes weddellii (Weddell seal), 368 nucleotides long. The record is from RefSeq and is a predicted model, not a curated record. NCBI's taxonomy places the organism in Eukaryota, Metazoa, Chordata, Mammalia, Carnivora, Phocidae.
UUCCGCCGGAAGUGGUCAGGCGCCUGAAACUGAGCGUCUUCGGUCAUCUCCGGCGCUUCGAGGGGCGGUUCCUGUAGUGUUCCGGAGCCGUGGAGCGCUAGGCGCCGACUACCUCCGCUCGUCUUUUCCUUCGCUGCCACCCGGUUCCUGGGAUCAGCCGACGGCAUGGGUUUUGGAGACCUGAAAAGCCCCGCCGGUCUCCAGGUGCUCAACGACUACCUAGCGGACAAGAGCUACAUCGAGGGGUAUGUGCCGUCACAAGCAGACGUGGCAGUAUUUGAGGCAGUCUCCGGCCCCCCACCUGCCGACUUGUAUCAUGCCCUCCGUUGGUAUAAUCACAUCAAGUCUUAUGAAAAGGAGAAGGCCAG